Uranotaenia lowii is the source of this 866-nucleotide long non-coding RNA. RefSeq lists it as uncharacterized. The transcript has 4 exons. The record is from RefSeq and is a predicted model, not a curated record. NCBI's taxonomy places the organism in Eukaryota, Metazoa, Arthropoda, Insecta, Diptera, Culicidae.
GAGCACUGCCAACUUUGAAGCGGCGCGACAUUUUCGACGCCAAAUACUAAACUGCAGUUCAGCGGCCAGCCGCGACGCUUUCCCGUUUGACAGCUACGAGUUCCGGGAAAAAACUUACACCACCCAUUCAAGAAGAGUCAAACAGAUAGCUUUAUUUCUAUUCUUCGUGAUUAAAACUAUAUCUACCUAUUUAAACUACAAUUGAAAAAAACUACCUAACCUAAGCUAAAACUAUUGCCGAACCAAGUGCAGUGAAACAAACGAACGAUAACCAGACAGUGGCACGUAAACAGGUUUGUGAAUCCUGCCCUACACGAAAUGUUGUGUUGUGCUAACCUCAAUUUUUCUACGCAUCACUAGCUAGUUUUCAGUGAGACCUUUUCGGAUUCAUCCGGCCCAGUGUAGAGCAUAGUACUGUGCUAAACAACAACGUGUUCCAUCCAGCGCUUUCUAGCUCGACUAUUGUUCCGGCUCUUCCAGCCUAGUUCAUAGAACUUAGCCUUCUCAAGCCGCAUCCGAGUAACAGCUCGUGAAUCGUUUCGGCUCAUCCAGCCAAGUUUAUCGAACUUAGCCUUCUCAAGCCGCGUCCGAGUAACAGCUCGUGAAUAGUUCCGGCUCCUCCAGCCAAGUUCCGAGAACUUUGCUCUAUCAAGCCGUGUAACACUAUCAGCCUUGGUCAGCUUUGCCUAGAAUCGUUCCGGUUGUAGGGAAAUCGACUCGAAACACUGAUUUUCUUGAAGCUGCUUUGCUAUCAAGACCGGUGUCCUUUUCCCCUCCUCCCCUACAUACAACUCGGAACAUUCUUCAAGAAAAUCAUCAUCCAUCGCGGGAGAUGGCAACUGCGAACGACGAUGCACCAUCUCCAG